AGGUAAAAUUUUUCUUGCGAGGCAACUAACGAUAUAUAUGAUGAAUUAAAAGCUGAAUCAAGGACUGUGCACGCAUUUCCUUGAAACAAAUUUCAUUUCGUCAAAAAUUAAAUCAAAAUUUUAUUACGAAAGAAAUGAUUAGAAGAAAUGACGUAUUUGAAAGUUUAUGGUGAUAUACUGAUUACGUAUAUAAUCGUAUAUGCUGGUAUAUUGAUCACGUAUAUAAACGUAUAUGCUGGUAUACUGAUCACGUAUAUAAACGUAUAUGGUCAUAUACUGAAAUUUCAUAUACUGCCAUAUACGUAUUUUGUAUGGGCUUAAGUCGAAAAAAGUGUAUGUAUACCCUGCAGUAUUUGUAAGGAAAUUCUCAUAUAAGUUUAAAUACUUUUUCAGUCAUGUUUUUUCGCUCGGGGCAUUAUGAAAAUU
Bradysia coprophila is the source of this 426-nucleotide long non-coding RNA. NCBI's taxonomy places the organism in Eukaryota, Metazoa, Arthropoda, Insecta, Diptera, Sciaridae. The record is from RefSeq and is a predicted model, not a curated record.